AGUUGGUCUGAGGGUUGUGAGUUAUUGUUAAACUGUUUAGCACUGUCUUCACCCACAGUCAUAAUUGACUAGCUUUGC
Unclassified non-coding RNA from Loxodonta africana (African savanna elephant), 78 nucleotides. It matches the Rfam family "Y RNA". From Rfam's summary of the family: Y RNAs are components of the Ro ribonucleoprotein particle (Ro RNP), in association with Ro60 and La proteins. The Y RNAs and Ro60 and La proteins are well conserved, but the function of the Ro RNP is not known. NCBI's taxonomy places the organism in Eukaryota, Metazoa, Chordata, Mammalia, Proboscidea, Elephantidae. The record is from Ensembl.